CCUACGAGAGGCAGCAGUGGGGGAUAUUGCACAAUGGGGGAAACCCUGAUGCAGCGACGCCGCGUGUGGGAAGACGGUCCUCUGGAUUGUAAACCACUGUCUCCAGGGACGAAGAUGACGGGACCUGGGGAGGAAGCUCCGGCUGACUACGUGCCAGCAGCCGCGGUAAUACGUAGGGAGCGAGCGUUGGCCGGAAUUACUGGGUGUAAAGGGAGCGUAGGCGGGGAUGCAAGUUGGGGGUCAAAACUACCGGCUCAACUGGUAGUCGCACUCAAAACUGCAGCUCUUGAGUGAAGUAGAGGCAGGCGGAAUUCCUAGUGUAGCGGUGAAAUGCGUAGAUAUUAGGAGGAACACCAGUGGCGAAGGCGGCCUGCUGGGCUUUUACUGACGCUGAGGCUCGAAAGUGUGGGGAGCAAACAGGAUUAGAUACCCUUGUAGUC
Molecule: ribosomal RNA, 440 nt
Filed under: uncultured bacterium
Lineage: Bacteria
Description: partial 16S ribosomal RNA
Rfam family: Bacterial small subunit ribosomal RNA
Source: RNAcentral